AUUGAACGCUGGCGGCAGGCCUAACACAUGCAAGUCGAGCGGAUGAAGGGAGCUUGCUCCUGGAUUCAGCGGCGGACGGGUGAGUAAUGCCUAGGAAUCUGCCUGGUAGUGGGGGAUAACGUCCGGAAACGGGCGCUAAUACCGCAUACGUCCUGAGGGAGAAAGUGGGGGAUCUUCGGACCUCACGCUAUCAGAUGAGCCUAGGUCGGAUUAGCUAGUUGGUGGGGUAAAGGCCUACCAAGGCGACGAUCCGUAACUGGUCUGAGAGGAUGAUCAGUCACACUGAAACUGAGAAAGGUUCAGACUCCUACGGGAGGCAGCAGUGGGGAAUAUUGGACAAUGGGCGAAAGCCUGAUCCAGCCAUGCCGCGUGUGUGAAGAAGGUCUUCGGAUUGUAAAGCACUUUAAGUUGGGAGGAAGGGCAGUAAGUUAAUACCUUGCUGUUUUGACGUUACCAACAGAAUAAGCACCGGCUAACUUCGUG
Molecule: ribosomal RNA, 483 nt
Filed under: uncultured bacterium
Lineage: Bacteria
Description: partial 16S ribosomal RNA
Rfam family: Bacterial small subunit ribosomal RNA
Source: RNAcentral